UUUUAUGAUGAAUUAUUUUGUCAGUUCUGCUACUGAAUAUAAAUUGAAGAUAAUAU
Molecule: small nucleolar RNA, 56 nt
Filed under: Cinara cedri
Lineage: Eukaryota; Metazoa; Arthropoda; Insecta; Hemiptera; Aphididae
Source: RNAcentral